Molecule: ribosomal RNA, 253 nt
Filed under: uncultured bacterium
Lineage: Bacteria
Description: partial 16S ribosomal RNA
Rfam family: Bacterial small subunit ribosomal RNA
Source: RNAcentral
UACGAAGGGGGCUAGCGUUGCUCGGAAUUACUGGGCGUAAAGCGUGCGCAGGCGGUUUUGUAAGGCUGGCGUGAAAUCCCCGGGCUCAACCUGGGAAUGGCGAUGGUGACUGCAAGGCUAGAGUUUGGCAGAGGGGGGUAGAAUUCCACGUGUAGCAGUGAAAUGCGUAGAUAUGUGGAGGAACACCGAUGGCGAAGGCAGCCCCCUGGGUCAAAACUGACGCUCAUGCACGAAAGCGUGGGGAGCAAACAGG